RNAcentral lists this ribosomal RNA (397 nucleotides) under uncultured bacterium. RNAcentral's name for it is "partial 16S ribosomal RNA". It matches the Rfam family "Bacterial small subunit ribosomal RNA", at positions 523 to 918 of the family's 1533-position model. The record is from RNAcentral.
AUACGUAGGGGGCGAGCGUUGUCCGGAAUGAUUGGGCGUAAAGGGCGCGUAGGCGGCCUGUUAAGUCUGGAGUGAAAGUCCUGUUUUCAAGAUGGGAAUUGCUUUGGAUACUGAUGGGCUUGAGUGCAGGAGAGGUUAUCGGAAUUCCCGGUGUAGCGGUGAAAUGCGUAGAGAUCGGGAGGAACACCAGUGGCGAAGGCGGGUAACUGGACUGCAACUGACGCUGAGGCGCGAAAGUGUGGGGAGCAAACAGGAUUAGAUAUCCUGGUAGUCCACACUGUAAACGAUGAAUGCUAGGUGUAGGAGGUAUCGACCCCUUCUGUGCCGCAGUAAACACAGUAAGCAUUCCGCCUGGGGAGUACGGUCGCAAGAUUAAAACUCAAAGGAAUUGACGGGG